AGUUAUAUUCAGCAAAUCAAAUAACUUUUUGAGAGAAAAAUAUAAUAAAAAUAAAUUUUUGUAAAGGGUUAAUUUCAUAUAGAUCCCAGUAAACAUAUCGAAUAGUAAAUAUAUUUCUAUAAAGUUUAAUUUUUCAUAUUUAUUCCUGCAAAAGUUCAGUGAUAUUCAUAUUUAUCUCUCUGAUUUGUUGCCGUUUUAGAGUAUUGUUUAUUUAUUAACAAAAAUAAGUGAUAUGAUAUUUUUGUUAUCACAAAUAUAUCCCUUUAAAAGGCCCAACUGUUAGAAUUAUAAAGAAAAAUGUCCUCCCAAAAAUCUCUAAGGGUGCGUUUGGUUCGCGCUAUCUUUUAAAGAUUCCUAGUAAUCUAAUGGGGAUAAAAAAAUAUGACGGUGUUUGGCUAAAAGCACUAAGUAAUCUAGUUGGUAAUAUUGGAUUUACUUGGAAAUAAGAUUCACCUCAAAGUACUAAUCUCAUUCCCUUGUGGGAGGGUGGGUAUCCUCAUAUUAAUGGAUUGGGAUAAUCAUAAUAUGUAUAAUCUCUUUCUUUCUUCUUACCCGCCGGCUAAUUGAUAUUAUUUUUCUUUACACUCUAACCUUAUAUCUCUCUCUAAACUUAUUUUUCUCUCUAAAAUUCAACUUUUUUUUCUCUCUCUAAACUAAGCUUUCUCUCUCUUUCUUUCUAAAAUUUCAACUCUCUCACUCCCUCUAAUUUCGACUAUAUUUUUCUUUCUAUUUUUUUAAUUAUGCUCUCUCUCUCUAACUUAUACUCUCUUUUCUUUUUUCUAAAAAGAUGUUGAAACUUUUGGUAACAUUAUCUAAAAUUAAUUAAAUAAAUAAAUAAAUUAAUUGUAUAUUUUUUGCAAUAUUAAAUAACAUGGCUAAUUAAUAUUACCGUGCGAACCAAACAUAGGAAUUUCACAUUCUUAGCAAUAGGAUGAAAAGGAAUAAGAUUCUCGGAUAUCUUUUAUUCCUAGAAAUUUUUCAUAAUGCGAACCAAACGCACCCUAACGGUUAUCUUCUUCCUUUCCACCACAAAUACUAUAAGAGGGAUAAAAAAAUCAAUUUAUCUUAUUCACCAAUCAAUGUUAAGUAUUUUAUCUAUGGUUAGCUAUAUUUUUCUAACCGAUCCUAGCAGUGGGUGUAUAUUUGAAAACGUUAGAACUUUUGUAGGAAUAAAUAUAAAAAUUUAAAUUUUAUAGGAAUGUAUUUACUAUUCGAUAUAUUUGUAGAAAACUAUUCGUAAGUAACCCUUUUACAAAGAGUUAAUUUCAUACAAUUCUCUGCAAACAUAGUGAAUACCAAAUAUAUCCCUAUAAAGUUCAACUUUCAUAUAUUGUCCUUACAAAAAUCCUAAUGUUUUCAUAUACGUUACUGCCGUUAGAAUUAAUCCGUUAGAAAAUUUUAGUUAAUCAUAGGUUAAAUACUUAACACCGGUUAAUUUUUGAUAUUUUUACCUCUUUAUAUUAUACUGCUAUGUCUUUUAGAGAGGUAUAUUUGUGAUAACAAAAUUGAAAAUAUAAACAGUUCUCUAAACAGUAACAAACCAGAGGAAUAUAUUUAAAAAUAGUAGGACUUUUGUAGAAAUAAUAUAUGAAAGCUGAAUUUUAUAAAAAUAUAUUUGUUAUUUAUUAUGUUUAGAAGAAUCUGUAUGAAAUUAACUCUUUUAUUUAUCUAUUAACCUAUAUGAACCUUUAUUAUUUUUUGUCCAUGUGUCAAGUUUUUUUUCACCCUCAACCCCAUGUGAUCCUAACCCUUUCCUCUAUCAAGUUUUUAAUUAAUAUAUCUAGCUAAUACAUAUAAACGGAUAAACGGUUCUACUAUUAAAACUUCAAUUAACGUAUUUAAAUGUUCCCACAAUCAUAUAUGAUCAUCAUAUUUCUAUUUUUAAUUAAUUUAUCUCGACUCUUACCCUUUCCCCUUUUCCUUCACCUCACACUGCCAUUUAUAAUCCUUAUAUUUUUACUUCUAAUUAAUUCAUCAUGAUCUUUCCCUAGCCAUAUAUAAUCCUCACAUUUCUAUCCAUUCCUCCCCUCCACCUUUUACUGUCAUUUAUAAUCCUCACAUUUUUAUUUCUAAUAAAUUCAUCAUGAUCUUUUCCUUUUCUCUACCAAACUUUCAAUUAAUCCAUCUAAACGAUUCGUCGCCAUCUACAAUCCUCACCUCUCCAUCCCUCAUCUUUUUCUCUAAAUCAUUGCCUCCCUCCUUUCCUCCCUCUCUCGUCACCGUCAUUAUCGCUGCCUCCUUUCCUCCCUCUCUUGUCACCAUCACUAUCGUUGUCACCAGAAAAGGCAUCGUCGAUUCCAUCUCCAGCACCAAUAAUGAAGAACUUUUGAUAGAUAUGACAAGUAAUAUACAUAAAAAAAAUAUUUGAUAUUUAUUUAUUAUUAAUUAGAAUGCGAACUCCUUC
RNAcentral lists this long non-coding RNA (2404 nucleotides) under Ananas comosus (pineapple). RNAcentral's name for it is "long non-coding RNA (ACOM_LNC023657)". Lineage: Eukaryota; Viridiplantae; Streptophyta; Magnoliopsida; Poales; Bromeliaceae. The record is from RNAcentral.